AACGAACGCUGGCGGCAUGCCUAACACAUGCAAGUCGAACGAGACCUUCGGGUCUAGUGGCGCACGGGUGCGUAACACGUGGGAACCUGCCCUUAGGUUCGGAAUAACUCCCCGAAAGGGGUGCUAAUACCGGAUAAUGUCUUCGGACCAAAGAUUUAUCGCCUUUGGAUGGGCCCGCGUUGGAUUAGCUAGUUGGUAGGGUAAAAGCCUACCAAGGCGACGAUCCAUAGCUGGUCUGAGAGGAUGAUCAGCCACACUGGGACUGAGACUCGGCCCAGACUCCUACGGGAGGCAGCAGUGGGGAAUAUUGGACAAUGGGCGAAAGCCUGAUCCAGCAAUGCCGCGUGAGUGAUGAAGGCCUUAGGGUUGUAAAGCUCUUUUACCCGGGAUGAUAAUGACAGUACCGGGAGAAUAAGCUCCGGCUAACUCCGUG
This 433-nucleotide ribosomal RNA is filed under the name uncultured bacterium. RNAcentral describes it as "partial 16S ribosomal RNA". It matches the Rfam family "Bacterial small subunit ribosomal RNA", at positions 29 to 507 of the family's 1533-position model. The record is from RNAcentral.